This 719-nucleotide long non-coding RNA is filed under the name Capsicum annuum. Its description in RNAcentral is "long non-coding RNA (CANN_LNC017504)". The record is from RNAcentral. Lineage: Eukaryota; Viridiplantae; Streptophyta; Magnoliopsida; Solanales; Solanaceae.
AAAUCAUAAUCUUCAAUCAAUAUUUAACGCCAAACGCUCCCACAAAUAGCAAGCCCCUAAAAUAGGAUCGAAUCUAGACUAAAAAUAUUUACGAUUUCUAAUUCCUAAUAUCAUCAGAGUUGACAGCAAAAGCUAUUUCCGGCGAAUGGUUUUAGUUGUCGCCGAAAGGAAGGAAAGAGAAAGGCGGCACCAUGGCUGGUGAUUGCCAGAUUUUGGGACAGCAUGGCGUAAAGAUUGGUCAACAGGGGGGUCGACGACGUUAUUAUUAGUGGUUACCGGUUUUGGGGUGACGGGAAAAGGGAAAUGGUGACGUAGCAAUGGUCACCGGGAAAGGGAGAAGGGUGGAGCCAUAGGGCUUUGCCGGUGGAUCUGAAUGGGAAAAGGGGAAGGAAAGACCAUCGCGAUGGCGCUGUCGUUCUGUCGGCUAGCAGCGGUGGGGAAAGACGAGGGAACGUGGCAUCGGAUUCCAUGGCUAAGGACGACUCCUACAUAACUUUUCACCGAAAAGAGUGGAAGAAAACUGUUUGGCCAUUUUUUUUCAUUCAUUGAAUUUUGUCUCGAUUUUCCUUGCUUUGUUCACUCUCUUUCGCUAUUUCGUUGUUUAUAUCAGUAUCUGCGUAUGUGUACAACGUUGACAAAAAUGUGAAUUGUAUGAAUAAUGUAAACAUUGAAUUCAUUUUUUAAUAAAUAAUAAUUAUAUACAAUAUUUAAGCAUUCAA